This 233-nucleotide ribosomal RNA is filed under the name uncultured Glomeromycotina. Its description in RNAcentral is "partial small subunit ribosomal RNA". It matches the Rfam family "Eukaryotic small subunit ribosomal RNA", at positions 569 to 806 of the family's 1831-position model. The record is from RNAcentral. Lineage: Eukaryota; Fungi; Glomeromycota.
AGCAGCCGCGGUAAUUCCAGCUCCAAUAGCGUAUAUUAAAGUUGUUGCAGUUAAAAAGCCGUAGUUGAAAAUUUCGGAUCAGUACGCUGGUCGUGCCUUUCGGUAUGAACUGGGUGUCCUGGAUUCCUCCCUUCUGAAGAAACCGUUCAUGCCAUUCAGUUGGUGGUGGCGGGGAAUAGACUGUUACAUUUGAAAAAUUAGAGUGUUAAAGCAGCUCGCGCUUGAAUACAUUA